UAGUCAUAUGCUUGUCUCAAGGAUUAAGCCAUGCAUGUGUAAGAUCGGCAUAGUUUUGGGAAGUAGGUUUACCUACAACCCUUAUUCAUUGUUAAUCUGUGAAAGGCUCAUUAAACAAGUUAUGAAUUUAGCCACCUGGUACAACCCUUCGGGGAUGGGAAUAACACUGUCAACUGCAGCGAUAAUGCCUACGAUUACUGUUGAAUUAAGUAGACAGUAGACACUAGAGUAUGGGUGAGUCCGCUCUAUUGUUAGCUGGGAUGAUCUUCUGACUCGUUGGAAGGUCUGAACAGUUGUCGACCAUUAGAUUUUCGUUUGCUUGCAAGCGAAUGCAGCGUGAAUGACUUAGCGUCCUAAUAAGACCUACGGCUUUCUUGUUGACUAGUGGCCAGGAAGAUAUGUUUCUAAUCUAUCAGCUCAGUAGUUUCGGUAAAGGCGAAACGAGGCUAUAACGGAUACGGGGGAUUGGUGUCCAACUCCGGAGAGAGAGCCUGAGAAACGGCUAUCACAUCUAAGGACGGCAGCAGGCGCGUAAAUUACCCAAUCCUAAUUCAGGGAGGUAGUGACAAGACAUAGCGACUUUACACCAAUCGGUGGAAAGGUACCACAUUGUGGUUUGAAAUGGAUGGAGAUUAAACCUCUCCAUGAGUAGCAAUUA
Molecule: ribosomal RNA, 658 nt
Filed under: uncultured eukaryote
Lineage: Eukaryota
Description: SSU rRNA
Rfam family: Eukaryotic small subunit ribosomal RNA
Source: RNAcentral